AAAAUGUAAAAAGCCUUCAUUUUAAAAGUCUGAGUGAGCAUACUCAUUCAUUUUCAAAAAAAAGAAAAAGAGAUAAACCUGAUCCAAAAGAGAUACAAGGAUAAUUGGACUCAGCAGCAACAGCAGCAGCAUAACACAAUAUGAAGCUGCUGUGGUCAAGAAUAGCGUGCAGCAACUUCAUAAUAAUGUCCUGAGAGUGAAUGUAAAGUCUAAACAUGGAAUACUCUAAAGAAAAAAUCUAUUUCUUGGAUCUCACUAUUUAUAAAGAUGAUGACAAUGGUUUACAUACCACUUUAUUUCGCAAAAAAACAGAAAUUCUCUACUUCAUUAUCAUUCCUUCCACCCUCCACAUCAAAAAAAAGAAUAUCCCUUAUGGACAGUUUCAAAGAGGCAGGCGGAUUUGUGACUCUGACUCUGACUUUGAGAAGCAGGCCAAAAGCCUAUCAGAGCGACUCAAGGAAAGGUCUUAUAAGCUACAUAUUAUUUCCACUGCUUUAGAAAAAGUCUGAUAUAUAAACCGCAGCAAUCUAUUGCGCAAGUCUGACAAACAAGAGAGGAAUUCCUCCAAUUAAUUUUUUGUCACGCGUUGUAACACUAAAUCUCAGAAAAUUAAACAUACCAUUCAUUCUAAUUGGGCUAUCUUAAAAAGUGACCCUAAUCUGAGAGUUUUUCCCAGAACCACCAGUUAUAUCCUACAAACAAGCUUCUACUAUAAAAGAAAAAUUGGUUACAGUUAUCUACCAGCACAUAAAGAGGACAUGUGGUUAAAGAGGCCCUCGGGUACUUUCAAGUUUUAUUAACACAUGCAAGCACUGUUCAAAUGUGAUUCAAACAAAGACAUUUACUGAUCUGAAAACAGGACAAAAGUACAAUCAGAGAGACAUUAUAAACUGUAACACUACUUUUGUUGUAUACCGUCUCACAUGCCCAUGUAACUGUUUUUGUAUAGGACGCACCAAAAGAUGCCUUAAGGACAGACUUUCAGAACACAAAUAUGUGAUCAGAACCCAGAAUGUGGACUACCCCAUGGCCAAACACUUCAAAGAGGAUAUUUCUUGAGUACUUGAAGAGGCGUGCCAUUUUAAACAUGGCUUCUCAUUGUGAUCCAUUUCCUGUCAAACACCUGCAUUCAUAAUCAGGAUUGGGUGACACCCCCUGCCAAGUUUAUAAAAUGUUUGCCUGUUGUUUGUUCACCCCUGUACCCUGAUGAAGACCUUUAUGAUCGAAACCGGUCGUUUUUUAAAUUGUAAGUAGCCAUGUUGAAUAAAGGCUUUUUCACUUAA
Long non-coding RNA from Thunnus maccoyii (southern bluefin tuna), 1283 nucleotides. RefSeq lists it as uncharacterized. NCBI's taxonomy places the organism in Eukaryota, Metazoa, Chordata, Actinopteri, Scombriformes, Scombridae. The record is from RefSeq and is a predicted model, not a curated record. The transcript has 2 exons.